CCAGGGGGCCGGGCAGCCGCGGGGUUCGCAAGAACCGCGAGGAAAGUCCGGGCUCCACGAAGCAAGGGUGGCGGGUAACGCCCGCCGGACGCAAGUCUAGGGAAAGUGCCACAGAGAGCAGACCGCCCCAUUUAUGGGGUAAGGGUGAAAGGGUGCGGUAAGAGCGCACCGGGGCCUUGGUAACAAGGCUCGCACGGCAAACCCCACCCGGAGCAAGACCGAAUAGGGGCGGCGCGCUGGUCGGAAACGAUCAGCUGGUGUGUUUCGCAUCGAUCGCCCGGGUUGGUCGCUUGAGCCGCGCAGCAAUGCACGGCCUAGAGGAAUGGCUGCCAGUGCGGAUACGGUCUCUCUUGGGAUACCGUCCGCGCUACAGAACCCGGCUUACAGGCCCCCUGGCGAA
RNAcentral lists this RNase P RNA (400 nucleotides) under Novosphingobium sp. RNAcentral describes it as "RNase P RNA component class A". It matches the Rfam family "Bacterial RNase P class A". From Rfam's summary of the family: Ribonuclease P (RNase P) is a ubiquitous endoribonuclease, found in archaea, bacteria and eukarya as well as chloroplasts and mitochondria. Its best characterised activity is the generation of mature 5'-ends of tRNAs by cleaving the 5'-leader elements of precursor-tRNAs. Cellular RNase Ps are ribonucleoproteins. Lineage: Bacteria; Pseudomonadati; Pseudomonadota; Alphaproteobacteria; Sphingomonadales; Sphingomonadaceae. The record is from RNAcentral.